CAUUUGCCUUAUAAUUGAAGGCUAGUAUGAAUGGUUUGACAAGAAUGUAGCUGUCUCUUUAUAAUUAAAUAGAAUUUUAUUUAUAGGUGAAGAAGCCUAUAUUAAAUUAAAAGACAAGAAGACCCUAUCGAGCUUGAAAGAAACUAGUAGAGUAAUAAUUAAUGAUAUCAAAAAAUUUACUAUUAGAAAUUUUAGUUGGGGCGACUAAGGAACAAAAAAAGCUUCCUUUAAAAAUUAAAAACUAAACAAGUAUUGAUCCAAAACGUUUUGAUUAAAGGAAUUAGUUACCGUAGGGAUAACAGCAUUAUCUUUUUUAAGAGCUCUUAUCGAAAAAAAGGUUUGUGACCUCGAUGUUGGACCAGAAUAUCCUAAAGAUGCAGCAGUCUUUAAGGGUUGGUCUGUUCGACCAUUAAAAUUCU
Molecule: ribosomal RNA, 419 nt
Filed under: Buccinum striatissimum
Lineage: Eukaryota; Metazoa; Mollusca; Gastropoda; Neogastropoda; Buccinidae
Description: partial 16S rRNA
Rfam family: Bacterial large subunit ribosomal RNA
Source: RNAcentral